Molecule: ribosomal RNA, 341 nt
Filed under: Priapichthys annectens
Lineage: Eukaryota; Metazoa; Chordata; Actinopteri; Cyprinodontiformes; Poeciliidae
Description: partial 12S ribosomal RNA
Rfam family: Bacterial small subunit ribosomal RNA
Source: RNAcentral
AGAAGAUCACAACCUCUAUCCGCCCGGGAACUACGAGCAUAAGCUUAAAACCCAAAGGACUUGGCGGUGCUUUAGACCCCCCUAGAGGAGCCUGUUCUAGAACCGAUAACCCCCGUUCAACCUCACCUUUUCUUGCUCGUCCCGCCUAUAUACCGCCGUCGUCAGCAUACCCUGUGAAGGAACCAAAGUAGGCAAAAUUGGUAAAACCCAAAACGUCAGGUCGAGGUGUAGCACACGAAAAGGAAAGAAAUGGGCUACAUUUCCUCUAUCAGGAAACACGAAUUGUGCUAUGAAACAACACAUGAAGGAGGAUUUAGCAGUAAGCAGAAAUCAGAGCGUUC